UACGGAGGAUCCAAGCGUUAUCCGGAAUCAUUGGGGUUUAAAGGGUCCGUAGGCGGCCUUAUAAGUCAGUGGUGAAAGCCCCAUCGCUCCAACGAUGGAACUGCCAUUGAUACUGUAAGGCUUGAAUUAUUGUGAAGUAACUAGAAGUAUGUAGUGUAGCGGUGGAAAUGCUUAGAUAUUACAUGGAAUACCAAUUGCGAAAGGCACGGUUACUAACAAUGGAUUGACGCUGAUGGACGAAAGCGUGGGGAGCGAACAGGAUUAGAUACCCCCGUAGU
RNAcentral lists this ribosomal RNA (278 nucleotides) under uncultured bacterium. RNAcentral describes it as "partial 16S ribosomal RNA". It matches the Rfam family "Bacterial small subunit ribosomal RNA", at positions 524 to 794 of the family's 1533-position model. The record is from RNAcentral.